Non-coding RNA from Trichonephila clavipes, 65 nucleotides. The record is from the annotation of a GenBank genome assembly. NCBI's taxonomy places the organism in Eukaryota, Metazoa, Arthropoda, Arachnida, Araneae, Nephilidae.
GUCCCUGUAGCGCAAUGGAUAGCGCGUUGAACUUCUAAUCCAAUGGCCGAAUCCUACCUGGGAUA